This 253-nucleotide ribosomal RNA is filed under the name uncultured bacterium. RNAcentral's name for it is "partial 16S ribosomal RNA". It matches the Rfam family "Bacterial small subunit ribosomal RNA", at positions 524 to 776 of the family's 1533-position model. The record is from RNAcentral.
UACGGAGGGUGCAAACGUUGCUCGGAAUCAUUGGGCGUAAAGCGCACGUAGGCGGUCUGUUAAGUCGGAUGUGAAAGCCCCGGGCUCAACCCGGGAAGUGCAUACGAAACUGGCGGACUUGAAUAUGGAAGAGGGUCGCGGAAUUCCCGGUGUAGAGGUGAAAUUCGUAGAUAUCGGGAGGAACACCAGUGGCGAAGGCGGCGACCUGGGCCGAUACUGACGCUGAGGAGCGAAAGCGUGGGGAGCGAACAGG